Long non-coding RNA from Odocoileus virginianus texanus, 920 nucleotides. RefSeq lists it as uncharacterized. NCBI's taxonomy places the organism in Eukaryota, Metazoa, Chordata, Mammalia, Artiodactyla, Cervidae. The record is from RefSeq and is a predicted model, not a curated record.
AGGCGCCUGCAGGGGCUCCCCCAGUUCUGCGCUGUGAGCCGGGGCACAAAGAGCCCUCUGCACUGGCGCCGCAGGACCGCGGACCCGAGCUGGAGGCAUCUCCCCGCCCACUGUGUGGUUCCGGACGCAUUCGUGUGGCCGCCGUGACCCUUCCAACAUCAAAGGAGCAACCGAGAGUGCAAGCAAGUUCCUGAGACAGAGGAGAAGGAAGGGAAUUUCCGGACUCUUCAGGAUGUUCAGGACCACACUGGGAAGCAGCCUUGCAGAUAAGUAUUCAAACUUCCCAGCCCACAGCCUACCAGCCUGCCCUCUCCUGCACUCUCCUGGUCCGUGGAGCAAAGUACAGCAUCCCUGAAUCCCCAAGUCCAGGGAGAAAUCAGCGCUCCAGCUCAUUUGCUUUCCUAUCCCUAAGAUACAAAGAAAAAGCUUGUCCCCAUUUUAUGGGGCCCCAGAGAGUAAUUUUUCCUACCCCACUUAUGACCUCGAGGCUGGUAUUUUACAAACUCCACCCUCAGGGACUUCUGAGGAGCUGAAUUCAGUAACUUCGUCUCGAGCACUGUAGAUCUGGUGUCAGGAGGAGACUGGGGCCUCCCGGGGAUUGGGGCUGGCCCUUCCCUUCUCGGCUCUUGUCCUUUGCCAUCAUGUUUAUAACACUUGGCUAGGGCUCCUUUUCUUGCCUGGCAGUCAAGUGGGGACCUUGGCGCUGUGACCCCAGGGCACAUGCUUCUUGGUUUAAGGGUCUGAGGACAUCUCCAGCUCUGGGCCCGGGCCCGCAAGUCCAAGUGCUGACAGCAAGCUCUGAAAAUACGGUGAAAGGGCCCAGGCCUGCCAGUGGAUGAAGAUAACUUUGUUGCUGUUUGUUGUUUAGUCCCUAAGUCAUGUCCGACUCUUUGCCAUCCCAUUGACUGUGACUCCUCUGU